RNAcentral lists this long non-coding RNA (4781 nucleotides) under Ananas comosus (pineapple). RNAcentral's name for it is "long non-coding RNA (ACOM_LNC001007)". The record is from RNAcentral. Lineage: Eukaryota; Viridiplantae; Streptophyta; Magnoliopsida; Poales; Bromeliaceae.
CUUGCCUUAAUCACUAGCUUAUAAGGUUUCUAUUAACCUUGAUCACGCCCGGACCGAUGCCAUUUGCCCGACCCGCGGCACGAUCAAACAGAGCCCGAACGGACAGAGUUUCCCUAUCGCCAAGUAUAAUGUACAUUUUCAAUAAGAGUGCCACUAGCGGAAAAAACAUUUUUACCCAAACGGUUCACGGAGGUAAAGCAAUAGCCAUUAGUGAAAGAAAAAGAAAAACUAACAUUCCUUGUUACUAUGAUUCAUUUUGGAUACGCAUACAUUGCAUUCUCUAGUAAUUUAAGAAUUUCUUACAUUCAUUACAUCAUCUCUUUCUGACAUCAUUUGCUCAAAAUAAGCUUUCAUUCUCUUCUUUACAUUCACUUUAAUUCAAGUACAACAAGAUGAUAAAAGGGUGUCUACUACAAAAUGCUACCAACUUGGUUUGGCCUCUGUCUAAGGCGCGAUACCUUUACUCGUGUCGCUCGCCGGCUCGCUCGGUCCGGCUCUGUGGAAAUAGUGGGGUGAGAAACAACAAGUUCCCAGUGGGGUUCGCCCCCACAUCACGACUUUCCCAGCUGGGACGACUCAGGCACAUAGAAAGGAUUAAGUAGAAAUAUAGUAACCAAUCUAUAACAUGAUGCUAAUGGCUGAACAAAGCAAGGAAUAAUGCUCAACAUUAAAUUAAAUCAGGUUAUGAUGUUCGUUUGAGUUUCUUUGCAGCUUUACAUUUGUUUUUACUCUUUGUCUUUAAUCAUUAAGGGUCUAGCCGCGGUGCGUUUCGCACUUUAACUUGCUUCAAAUUUAGUCAUCAUCGCAGGAACUCGCACGUCAGCUAGGACCGGUCCUUACGGGUUUAACUCCACCCGGCAUGCAUAACAUCCGGAGCGCAUGCGCCCGAGGGGGAGCGACCACCCUUCUGAGCACGGAACUCCAUAGACAAGUAUGAUGAAUCCUUAACUCAAAGGAUUAUAAGUUCAAUUUGCUUUAACACUAGUCUAGUGUUCUUUACAUCCACUUGAUGUGCAAAUCAUGCAAUCACAUUCUUUACAUUUCCUUUACCCUUGCUAACUCUAGCAUUCAAAGUUGUUCUCAUUGCCACUUUACCUUAAACUUCUACUCGUUCUGUCCAUUUUCAUCAUUCUUUACAUCACUUUAGUCUUUACAUCCCUAACUCUGUGUAUUUGCACAUUAGUUUUAUCGAAUGUGACUCGAUCUAUGUCAUUUGUGUCACUCUGUGCUUUUGCUCACGUUUGGGUGCUCACAUUCCUCUCAUGCAUACAUCUAGGGGUUUGACAUAUUGUUCUCACCAUCUCAGUAUGCAAGUUUGAACUAACAUUAUGCAAUCAUACAACUUUUGAUCGUUACUUUCCCUAAAAUGCAUGCAAAAUGUAUAUAACAUAUGCCAAGGAGACACAUUAGCAUAAGAGAAUUUCAAUGAGUUUUGGAAAAGCACGCACCACGUCGUUAGGCGUACAGGUGCUCGAUAAUUUUUUGGGAUUUUUAGAAUCUUCGUUCAUUUACCUGCGGCAAAACGAACCUAUUAGGGCCAUUGCUGGCAUAAUCAUUGUACUUCUGGCUUUUGCGUAAUACGUUAAUCGAGCGCACCAAACGGCGGUCGGACAAUACCCCAAUUUAGGUUUUUGAAGGGUCAAUUUUCAUUUAGAAAUCCACCAUGAGCAAAGGCACCAAUUUGGUGCCCUAAUGCUCCAAUAACACUAUCAAACUUAGGGUUUGAUCUCAUUGGGAAGCAAAGUAGCUUCAUAUUAUAUCAAAUAAUCCAUUGUAGAACCAUUCUUAGGCUUUCCAAAACCCUAGUUUGGAUUGUUAACCCAUUAGAGGGUGGCCCUAAGAAACCUGAGGCUCAACAUGGGAUUUGAUCUCUAAAAGCAACAAAGAAAGCUUCAAAACUGAUAGACAUGUCCUUAAAAACCAUCCUAGGUUCUUCAAACUCACAUUUUAGGUUUUACUACAUUAGGCGUGAAGGCUCCCUACUCAAAGCUUUCUCACCUUUUUUCCCCAUUUAAGGCUAUGAGAUGGAAGGGAAGGAGUUCUUCCUUCUUCUUCUUCUCUCCACUUUCCUUCCUUUCUUUUCCUUUUUUUCUUCUUUCUUCUUCUUCUCUUUUUUUCUUGAGAAGAGAGGCAGAGAAGAAGUGUGAGAGGGGUGAAAAUGAGAGAAAAUUCUCAUUUCACCCGCCAUACUAUACUCAAUGGGCUGCUAAAAUGCAAAUAAACCCUCCUUUUACUUUAUUACACUGCCCGAAUUGGCAGUUGCCGCAGGCAGGAGACCCGGUCUCCCGAGCAGGACGCGGUUCCCGAAGUCGCACGCCUGCGCAGCCAGAGUCCUCCGCAGAGCAGCAGAAUCGCGGGCGCCCGAAUAGGAGCGCGAGCCGGUCUCCCUCCGAUGGGACUCGGUCUCUGGGGACCGGUUCUCUCAGGCAGAGACGCGUUCCCGGAGCCAUCUUCCAGGACUUAGCGAUUUUCGGGGCCGUAUCACUCUCGCACCGUUCGGGGACCGGUCUCUCCUUUCAGGGACCGGUCCCGAGAGCUGAAAAUCUGAUCUUGUACUUGCAGAAUUCAUUCUUUUAGCUCUCGAAACGCCCCGUAACAUCACUUUUAACCUUUUUAACACCUUCAGACUUCGCCGAAGUGUACGCGCCUGACUUUGGUCAUGUUGACUAAUAGUUCGAAUUUUAUCUUUUCGCAAUUUUCGGGUAUAUUAAAACCUAAUCAAGCUAACCACCCGACUCGGCCUCGAGUCAAUCAUCCGCGGAUAGUCCGCGCACUGGCUGCAUCUCAGCCUGGCUGCCGUCACAGCCUACCGCAAAUCUGACUUAACUAUCUGGUGGCGAACUCAUCGCAUUGAACCCAACAACAACUUAAGUCAUGACUUAGCCAUCUGGCGGCGAACUAAUCGCACCUCACCCAACAAUGGUUCAAGAUGUGACUUACUCAUCUGGCAGCGACCACAUCGCUCUUACCCAACAAGGUUCAAGUCAAUCUAGACGGCAUCAUCUGAUAAGCUAAUGGGCGAGGAGAACCACACAUACCAAAUUCCAGCUUAUUCUCAUGGCAUCCCGGGCGAGGAGAACCACACAUACCCGUUGAAUCACUGCCAGGCGAGGAGAACCACACAUACCUGCAGUUAGGAUUCGCUUGCCAUCUCUUUUACCACAAUUUUCACCGCUCCAUGUGCGGCCACAUCACUAGGGAUUCCGGAAUCCAUUUCAUAACUCAAGGGUUGGUUUCAAACCCUAUAGCAUUGACCUAUCUAGGUCCAACGUCCUUUUCACUCUAGGUCCAACUGACUCUAGGUUCAACGUCUCUAUCACAUAACCUAGGUUUACUUAACUCUAGGUUCAAUCCAUAACCUAUGUCCUUUAACACUAGGUUAGAUGCCACUCAUCAUUCAUCCUAGGUUCAACAACACUAGGUUCAUUGUCAUUCAUGUCCAACCUAUGUUUUUAUACACUAGGUUAGAUGCCACUCGAUCUAGUUCACAUGACUCUAGAUUCAUUCACAACCUAUGUUCUUUAACACUAGGUUAAGUGCCACUCGAUCUAUUUGACAUCCUAAUUGUCCAUGUCGAGUUCCAUAACUAUCCACAUUUUAUCUAGCAUGCAUUAUGUGAUGCCAACAUGCAUAAUCUUUCUCACAUGAUCUACAACAUGUUAAUAUGCAUGUAAUCUAGCAUAUUCUCAUCAUGUCAUCAUACAUGUAUUAACAAGCAUAUUUACAUUAUGUCAUUAACAUGCAUUCUUUACCAUAUGCUCACAUGCAUUAUUUAGCAUUUCUAUAAUAUGUUCAUCAUGCAUUCUAUGGUAGUCGUAGCAUAGCAAUUAACAUGCAUUCGCCUAGCAUUUAACUCUUGCAUUCAUCUACCAUUUAUAUGCAUCAAUAUGAAUUUACAUUUCUCUUAGACAUAAAGGGCGACCUAGUCGCUUCGGUAAGCACAACCCACCUUAACUUACUCUCCGAUUGCUUGUAGUCACUUGCAAUCGGCCGCCCGCGACACCCGCGACCCGGUUUGGCUCGAACUCUCGCGCAAUCACCCAAACGAUCUCCGAUUUGCGAUCCGAAAAUUAAAGGUCUUCGGUUAUGUGCCACGGUGCUUCAAAUCCGUUUUCAUGAUUUUACGACGUCGCCUCGGCCCUCCAGGCGGAAACGAAGCCUAAACGUCCGUUUCUUUAAUAACUUUGUAACGGCUCGUCGGAUUGCCGAUCCGUCUUCGCCAACGCGUUUCGUUACCUAGCAAUUAGGUUUAUAUAUGUUCAAUUUAGAUCAAACCCAUCUAUUAGCAAAAAUUGCAUUUUGGAGCCCUAGGUUGCAACUAUGCAAGAAAUCAUCAAAUCCCUUCACGAAUUAAGCAUCAAUCAUCUAGAUAGCAUGCUAGGAUUCCUCUAAAUCCAUUUCUAAGCUAUUUAAACCAACCAUUAAGGAUCUACCAUUAAAGGGUAGCAAAAGCUUACCUCAAAAUUAGCUCCAAAUCAUGGAGAAGAUGAAGAAGACGAAGGCAAUCCACCUCCAAGCUUCAAUCUCCACCAAAUCCAUCCAUUUUGGGAGAGAUUUAGAGAGAGAAAUGGAAGUUCUCUCUCUCCCUUCCAUGCAUGCGUGUGUGUGUGUGUGUCGCAUGCGGUUUGGGGCUGCUGCGGCUGAGGAAGGAGAAGAAGAAAAGGGAUUAAAUCCCUUUUUACCAUUUUGCCCCUCAACUAUACACUAUUCACUACGGGCAGCUUGAAAUCUGAUAAAUUUCGUUGGAGCCCUUCCGGAUGUCCGUUUUCGUUCAAAUUUGA